This is a long non-coding RNA of Oncorhynchus masou masou (cherry salmon), 1589 nucleotides long. RefSeq lists it as uncharacterized. Lineage: Eukaryota; Metazoa; Chordata; Actinopteri; Salmoniformes; Salmonidae. The record is from RefSeq and is a predicted model, not a curated record. The transcript has 3 exons.
UUCAAGCUGACAUUUUAGUCUCCUUUGCUCUAUUGUUUCAUUGUUAAUAUAGGAGGAAUUCAUAUUUUGCCCCCUUGGUGAGAACUGCCUUACUAGUAUGGACCCUAUAGGUUUACUAGUAUGGACCCUAUAGGUUUACUAGUAUGGACCCUAUAGGUUUACUUGUAUGGACCCUUUAGGUUUACUAGUUUGGACCCUAUAGGUUUACUUGUAUGGACCCUAUAGGUUUACUAGUUUGGACCCUAUAGGUUUACUUGUAUGGACCCUAUAGGUUUACUAGUAUGGACCCUAUAGGUUUACUAGUUUGGACCCUAUAGGUUUACUAGUAUGGACCCUAUAGGUUUACUUGUAUGGACCCUAUAGGUUUACUUGUAUGGACCCUAUAGGUUUACUAGUUUGGACCCUAUAGGUUUACUAGUAUGGACCCUAUAGGUUUACUAGAAUGGACCCUAUAGGUUUACUAGUAUGGACCCUAUAGGUUUACUAGUAUGGACCCUAUAGGUUUACUAGUAUGGACCUAUCUAUAGGUUUACUAGUAUGGACCCUAUAGGUUUACUAGUAUGGACCCUAUAGGUUUACUAGUAUGGACCCUAUCUAUAGGUUUACUAGUAUGGACCCUAUAGGUUUACUAGUAUGGACCCUAUAGGUUUACUAGUAUGGACCUUUAUCAGAGGAGGUUUAUAUUCACCUGGCAGAACAAACAGCUUAGGCAUUAGGGGUUGAAGUGCAGGGUUAAAGUAGGGUUACGUUUAGGGUUAGAAACCAGGGUUAUGUUAAGGUUAGUUUGAGGUUAUGUUAAGGUUAGUUUGAGGUUACGGUAAGGUUAGUUUGAGGUUAUGUUAAGGUUAGUUUGAGGUUACGGUAAGGUUAGUUUGAGGUUAUGUUAAGGUUAGUUUGAGGUUAAGGUUAGUUUGAGGUUAUGUUAAGGUUAGUUUGAGGUUAUGUUAAGGUUAGUUUGAGGUUUAAGGUUAGUUUGAGGUUAUGUUAAGGUUAGUUUGAGGUUACGUUAAGGUUAGUUUGAGGUUACGGUAAGGUUAGUUUGAGGUUACGUUAAGGUUAGUUUGAGGUUACGGUAAGGUUAGUUUGAGGUUACGGUAAGGUUAGUUUGAGGUUACGUUAAGGUUAGUUUGAGGUUACGGUAAGGUUAGUUUGAGGUUACGGUAAGGUUAGUUUGAGGUUACGGUAAGGUUAGUUUGAGGUUACGUUAAGGUUAGUUUGAGGUUAUGUUAAGGUUAGUUUGAGGUUACGGUAAGGUUAGUUUGAGGUUACGGUAAGGGUUAGAGUUAGGGAAAGGCUUCAACUUUUGGGCUGGCGCAACUCCACCUCCGUAAAUAUAUCUGCCAGUUAAACAAACACCACCUUAAUCAGAACACAGUAUUAGUAUUAGUCUGUACUGGAACGUAUUGGAAAGUUUCUCCAGUUUAAAAUAUAGCAGUGUCUCCAACUCCACUCCCAGGUAUUCGUUGGCCAAACUGCUGUAGAUGCUGCCAAAGCUAAGCUUCUGCUCUGUGUUUUACUGCUGUUUGCAUGUGCCUCAGUCCUCACUUCUUCACAGCGGUUUCUCCUCUCAUUAAAGGGUUUUAAUCUGC